UACGUAGGGCGCAAGCGUUGUCCGGAAUUAUUGGGCGUAAAGAGCUCGUAGGCGGCCUGUUGCGUCCGCUGUGAAAUCCCGGGGCUCAACCCCGGGCCUGCAGUGGAUACGGGCUGGCUAGAGGCAGGCAGGGGAGAACGGAAUUCUUGGUGUAGCGGUGAAAUGCGUAGAUAUCAAGAGGAACACCUGCGGCGAAGGCGGGUUGCUGGGCCGACACUGACGCUGAUGCGCGAAAGCCAGGGGAGCGAACGGG
Molecule: ribosomal RNA, 253 nt
Filed under: uncultured bacterium
Lineage: Bacteria
Description: partial 16S ribosomal RNA
Rfam family: Bacterial small subunit ribosomal RNA
Source: RNAcentral